Molecule: non-coding RNA, 829 nt
Organism: Pelobates cultripes (western spadefoot toad)
Lineage: Eukaryota; Metazoa; Chordata; Amphibia; Anura; Pelobatidae
Source: the annotation of a GenBank genome assembly
GGUGAGGCCCUCUCUUUGCAUUGAUGCGAGGCGGCUAGCUAUGAUUUGGCCCGACGGACGUAUUACCUCCGAGUGUGAGGUUAGGGAUGUUGGCCUCGCGGGACCACUAGCCUAUGGAUUAAGACCAGAAAAUAUUUUAUCUAAUUGGGCCACCUAACCUAGGACCAGUACCCCUCAAAUAUUUUUAGGAAAUAGUGGGUUCUGGCGUAGUACCUGAAAAGUGAGUCAGGCUGAUCUCUCAAUGAAGUAACUGUGAUAUUGUCGGGUAGUUGACCUGUGGAUAUAAGAUGAUAUAUAAAUAUCUGAAAAUGGGGUAGUAGUUAGGCCAGAUCGUGGACCUUAGAACCAGAACCUACCCGAUAACUGCGGAGGAGAUAUAACCAAGAGAAAUAGGCUUCUUGCUUGUAAAAAGCUACCGUUCCAAUGACUAAACCUAGGAGAGUAAAUUAUAUAUUUUACCUAAUAUCAUAUGUUUAUAUGGUCAUUUAUAUGAAUCAUAUGACAAUGUUACCAACCUAUAAAGUAUAAAUGAUACCGAUCUCAGGGUCCCCAAAUAUUAAUAUGAAUUCUGGUAAGGAAACCUGUUGGAAGAUGUCAGAAAUCAGGAUUCUAAUUAAGUGUAGCAUAAAUUUAAUUUUUAUGGUGUAAUAUCAUUAUUGACCGGUAGGGGGCGAGAUUCCACCUAAGAAGUGGAUGCAGGAUCGUGUAUAAUUAGUGAGUAAAGCGCAAAUUUAACUAGAGUGUGAUUACAGUACACAAUGAAUACGUUUUGUUUGGUAGAAAAAUCCUAAGUAUAUGGCCGAAUGCAGCGUUCGUUUAAAUGUUAAAU